AGGGACAGAGCGCCACAAAGUGCCACGCAUGGUGCAAAGUGCCACGCACAGCACAAAGUGCCACAUUGCAGGAUACGUAUUUCAUCGAAAGAAAAUGAGAAAGUUUGAAAGCGACAGAAAGAGAUUUUUAUGAAUUUAUUUUACAGUAUUUCCAAAAGAUCAUGGCAUAUCAACCAUUGCAUUAUGUAUAAGUAUGUAUGUAUUUUCCGUAUAAGAAAAACUAGUUUACUUACUGGGUUUUGUACUCAUUAUAGUUUAUUGUGAUUCAGUUUCCAGAAGUCAGGAUUGAUUCGUGAUGAGUGAGAAGAUGGAUUUGAAUUGAGGAUAGUAGAUGGUUUGGUUAAGUUUUUAAGUUAUUCUGCUGGCUUUUGUAUUUG
RNAcentral lists this long non-coding RNA (377 nucleotides) under Citrus maxima (pomelo). RNAcentral's name for it is "long non-coding RNA (CMAX_LNC000554)". Lineage: Eukaryota; Viridiplantae; Streptophyta; Magnoliopsida; Sapindales; Rutaceae. The record is from RNAcentral.